RNAcentral lists this ribosomal RNA (497 nucleotides) under uncultured bacterium. RNAcentral describes it as "partial 16S ribosomal RNA". It matches the Rfam family "Bacterial small subunit ribosomal RNA", at positions 28 to 507 of the family's 1533-position model. The record is from RNAcentral.
GAUGAACGCUGGCGGCGUGCCUAAUACAUGCAAGUCGAGCGAACGGACGAGAAGCUUGCUUCUCUGAUGUUAGCGGCGGACGGGUGAGUAACACGUGGAUAACCUACCUAUAAGACUGGGAUAACUUCGGGAAACCGGAGCUAAUACCGGAUAAUAUUUUGAACCGCAUGGUUCAAAAGUGAAAGACGGUCUUGCUGUCACUUAUAGAUGGAUCCGCGCUGCAUUAGCUAGUUGGUAAGGUAACGGCUUACCAAGGCAACGAUGCAUAGCCGACCUGAGAGGGUGAUCGGCCACACUGGAACUGGGACACGGUCCAGACUCCUACGGGAGGCAGCAGUAGGGAAUCUGCCGCAAUGGGCGAAAGCCUGACGGAGCAACGCCGCGUGAGUGAUGAAGGUCUUCGGAUCGUAAAACUCUGUUAUUAGGGAAGAACAUAUGUGUAAGUAACUGUGCACAGCUUGACGGUACCUAAUCAGAAAGCCACGGCUAACUACGUG